CAUAUUCUGCCAUUCUUCUGGACAUAAUUAAAAGUUGAAUAAAGACCUUUCCACUGCCAAAGGCAUAAUCAUCACACUUCAUCUGAUAAAACAUUUAGUAAGCACAGACUGUGUGCCAGAACUGUGCUGUAGCAAAAGCUUUGCACUGGUGGAAUUAGUCUACACUCAGAAAAUAUUUAUGAAACACCUGUGAUGGAUAUUGAAGAAAGCAGGGAGAAUGCAUAACCCAGUGAGUAGAAGCAGCCUGAGGUCCUCCUAGAAGCAGAUGCUGAAGCCGUGCUUCUUGUACAGCCUGCAGAACCGUUGAGAAAUGUCUCUCCGAAGAUCUCCCAGCCUCUUAUGACCACAGAGCAUGAGAAUAGAAAUGCUAAUGUGGCAUUAUGAGUGAGAGGUAAGGACUGUCCAGCCUUCUGUGGACAGGAGGCCUUUUGGGCUGAUUGAAAUGUGUGCAUACAGUAGAACGAAUGCCACCAACGGAUGUUCCCACAGUCGGCACUCAGAGAUGGCCCAGGCAUUGAACCCAGCUGCCAUGUUGUCCAGGCUAGACCAGUGAAUGACUAAAGCUUGUCUGAAAAGAGGCCUUGGAGAAAGGCCAUUCUUGCAGCUCCAGCCCCAGUCCAGUUGAAAUUGAAUGUAGCUACAUGAGUGACCUCAGUCAUAAUCAAUUAAAUCAAAUUUACUUGCAACUGAAGACUAGAAGAACCACCCAGAAGAGCCCACUCAACUCACAGAAUUAGAAGAAAAUAAAUGGCACAGCAGAACAUAGCAAUACAAAACAUCAAUAAGGCUCCAACACAACUAGAGAUGUCUUUUCGCCCCACGUGGAACAGUUGCAAUGGUUUUCAGGAUAUCUCCUGCGGCAGGUUCUUGGUUGUGUUUUCUACAAUAAUGGAAGUUAUACAAAUCUAUAUCUUUCCCUGGCAGAAAGGCCCUCAAAAUCUGUGAAGCAGAAAUUGCCCUGAUGUCAACUUCGAUGCAGCUACAAUUGUUCCUUUAAGAAUGAAGUUCAGAAAGAUGUACAAUUAUUAUGUGUCGCUUAUGAAUAGAAUUUAAAAAAUUUUAAAGAGUAAUAGAGCUCAGAGUAAUAUAGAACACUUAAUAAAUAUGCCAUGAUCAAAUGUAUU
Molecule: long non-coding RNA, 1124 nt
Filed under: Homo sapiens (human)
Lineage: Eukaryota; Metazoa; Chordata; Mammalia; Primates; Hominidae
Description: HSALNT0264725
Source: RNAcentral